RNAcentral lists this long non-coding RNA (394 nucleotides) under Mustela putorius furo (domestic ferret). RNAcentral's name for it is "lncRNA (ENSMPUG00000024051.1)". The record is from RNAcentral. Lineage: Eukaryota; Metazoa; Chordata; Mammalia; Carnivora; Mustelidae.
GAGACAGAAAACACCUCCGCAAACCUGGGAAACAGGACGCAGUCCAGGUGAGUGCGUAGGACCGAAAGAGGCAGGAGAGGCCCCAGGUACCUAGGGGUUUCCAGGAAGGCCAGCUGGGAAGCAGCAGUGACCCGAGGGACAAGAUGCCCAGGUCAAGAGUAAGGAAGGAAGCUUCCUUCCUCUGAAGGAAGACCAAGCUGGGAGACAUCAGGCUCAGGAGCAUACAGAACAAGGAAGGGAGACGAUUGGGUCGGAGGAGCAUGGAAGGAGGUAACCAUCUCUUCCAAGUGGAAAGGCCAUUCAGACAGAAAGUCCACUGAGUACUCAGGUGAGAAGGACAGAGAGGAGCAGCACAGUUACAGCCUUUCGUCCCAGGUACUGUGUAUGUUUUUAA